UGUAGCUUAGUGGUAGAGUGUUUGUCUAGUCUAUAAAAGCCCUGGGUUUGAUCCCCAGCA
This 60-nucleotide transfer RNA is filed under the name Heterocephalus glaber (naked mole-rat). It matches the Rfam family "tRNA", at positions 6 to 65 of the family's 71-position model. From Rfam's summary of the family: Transfer RNA (tRNA) molecules are approximately 80 nucleotides in length. Their secondary structure includes four short double-helical elements and three loops (D, anti-codon, and T loops). The record is from Rfam by way of RNAcentral. Lineage: Eukaryota; Metazoa; Chordata; Mammalia; Rodentia; Bathyergidae.